AGUGGUUGCUGAGUUAGAACUUGACAGCGUAAUCCCACCGCCCGACAUGAACGAAGAGG
This 59-nucleotide small RNA is filed under the name bovine gut metagenome. RNAcentral's name for it is "cow-rumen-1 RNA". It matches the Rfam family "cow-rumen-1 RNA". Rfam says of the family: cow rumen metagenome. Environment (Cow rumen (57)) The record is from RNAcentral.